GACGAACGUUGGCGGCGUGCUUAAUACAUGCAAGUCAACUGAAGCACCGGUAGCAAUACUGGUGUGGAGGUGGCGCACGGGUGAGUAACACGUAGGUAAUCUGCCUUCAGGUCUGACAUAACUCCGGGAAACCGAAGCUAAUAUCAGAUGAUGCAGCGGCUUGACAUCAAGACAGUUGUUAAAGCUUCGGCGCCUGAAGAUGAGCCUGCGUCUGAUUAGCUAGUUGGCGGGGUAACGGCCCACCAAGGCAACGAUCAGUAGCUGGUCUGAGAGGAUGAUCAGCCACACUGGAACUGAGACACGGUCCAGACUCCUACGGGAGCAGCAGUAAGGAAUAUUGCUCAAUGGGAGAAAUCCUGAAGCAGCAACGCCGCGUGAGGGAUGAAGGGUCUUUUG
RNAcentral lists this ribosomal RNA (396 nucleotides) under uncultured bacterium. Its description in RNAcentral is "bacterial SSU rRNA". It matches the Rfam family "Bacterial small subunit ribosomal RNA", at positions 28 to 421 of the family's 1533-position model. The record is from RNAcentral.